AGGGAUCAUUACCGAGUUUACAACUCCCAAACCCCUGUGAACAUACCUAUACGUUGCCUCGGCGGAUCAGCCCGCGCCCCGUAAAAAGGGACGGCCCGCCCGAGGACCCCUAAACUCUGUUUUUAGUGGAACUUCUGAGUAAAACAAACAAAUAAAUCAAAACUUUCAACAACGGAUCUCUUGGUUCUGGCAUCGAUGAAGAACGCAGCAAAAUGCGAUAAGUAAUGUGAAUUGCAGAAUUCAGUGAAUCAUCGAAUCUUUGAACGCACAUUGCGCCCGCCAGUAUUCUGGCGGGCAUGCCUGUUCGAGCGUCAUUUCAACCCUCAAGCUCAGCUUGGUGUUGGGACUCGCGGUAACCCGCGUUCCCCAAAUCGAUUGGCGGUCACGUCGAGCUUCCAUAGCGUAGUAAUCAUACACCUCGUUACUGGUAAUCGUCGCGGCCACGCCGUAAAACCCCAACUUCUGAAUGUUGACCUCGGAUCAGGUAGGAAUACCCGCUGAACUUAAGCAUAUCAA
This 516-nucleotide ribosomal RNA is filed under the name Fusarium sp. DI. RNAcentral describes it as "eukaryotic LSU rRNA". The stretch from base 161 to 314 matches the Rfam family "5.8S ribosomal RNA". Lineage: Eukaryota; Fungi; Ascomycota; Sordariomycetes; Hypocreales; Nectriaceae. The record is from RNAcentral.